RNAcentral lists this microRNA (22 nucleotides) under Salmo salar (Atlantic salmon). RNAcentral's name for it is "ssa-miR-7552a-2-3p". The record is from miRBase by way of RNAcentral. Lineage: Eukaryota; Metazoa; Chordata; Actinopteri; Salmoniformes; Salmonidae.
AAAUUUCCCUUAAUUGUUUGGC